AAUACUCACAUAAUUUGUGAUUCUAAUAGGCUUCCUGCACCGACAUUUGAUGCCUUUCUAUUGUAAAUCUUCACCAAGUUGCCAUUUGUUUUUGUGGAAAUACAAACCAGAUGUAUGACCUUGAGUGAAGGAAUGCUAUUCCAUGAGUGAAGGAGCUCGAGGUGAACAGGCGGUGUGGGAAGGCGAGAGGAACCAGGAGCUCAUCCCUCCUCCCAUGGCUGCCUCGUGGAUCUGGAGUAUAAGGAGGACAACAUGUGCCUGUUGCAGGCGGCUCGAGCGAUGCAAGCCGGCGACGAACUAGGUGCUCCACUCUUUCUCCCCCUCUCUUAAUUUCUUCCUCACACGUAUUUUACUUUGCUAUUAUAUGGAUUUUUAAACUUGACGUGUGCAGAUCUGACAUAGAAGAGAGGAAGAAUAAUUUUAGCUAAGAGUGGAAUUUAGAGUUCAAAGAAUCAGUUGAUGCUAUUGACCAAAGAGCGAUUUUUGUUACAGUUCCUCUGAAUGAAUUAGUAAACCAGAAGGACCAAAACAUCAUCGCUCAGCCAUUGUUGUUAGAUUGAUGUUGCCUUGAUUACCACUUUGUUUGGUGGCUACACUAUAAAUUCUUGAGAUAUAGUGCAAUGGUUGAUAGUUUGUUGCAUAGUCAUAUUGAUUCUGCUGAACUAAUACUCUCUUUGUAUAUCUAGGAUUCCUACUAGAACAUGUCAUUCCAAAUUGUGACAAUGAUCUUUCUACUCAUGAGUAGUCCUUUUUUAUACUGAAUUUUGAUGCAUACUCUAUGCAGAAAAGAAGGCCUCCUCGGACGUUAAGAAGGUACAACUAGGUAGCAAUGGAAGUGCUCCAUUCAAAACCAAGUAAUAUCUCCGAAUUUUUACACUAGAAUGUAUGCAUGGUAAAUACCAUGACCUUGCAAAUUUACACAUGUCCCCUUCUUCUCCUUUUCUUAGGAACUUGGCAGAAGCUCUACAUAUGCAAAUGGAGGUUCAGACACAGCUCCAUGAACAGCUAUAGGUGCCUUCUCUGUUCCUAUUUUUGAGCUCUAAUAGGAUGGUGUUGUUGUCGCCUUGUCGGCAUAUAUUUCUGAUAGUAGGAGCAUUCUUUUUCUUGCUUCACAAUAAUUAUUGCGCUUUGUGUAUAUAUGAACCCAAAUCCCUAUUUAAAUGGGUGCUAAAUGUUUUUGCGGCAUGGUUGACUUUGGAGACUAGCGCUUUUAUAGUAUUGUUACGGACUCUGUUUUUUACUAAUAAUCGUAUUGAUUCUGC
This 1262-nucleotide long non-coding RNA is filed under the name Triticum aestivum (bread wheat). Its description in RNAcentral is "long non-coding RNA (TAES_LNC004260)". Lineage: Eukaryota; Viridiplantae; Streptophyta; Magnoliopsida; Poales; Poaceae. The record is from RNAcentral.